This 375-nucleotide unclassified non-coding RNA is filed under the name uncultured Acidimicrobiia bacterium. Its description in RNAcentral is "contains 16S-23S intergenic spacer region". The record is from RNAcentral. Lineage: Bacteria; Bacillati; Actinomycetota; Acidimicrobiia.
UCCGGAUUAGCUCCGGCAGUCCCACUAGAGUGCCCAACUUAAUGCUGGCAACUAAUGGCGAGGGUUGCGCUCGUUGCGGGACUUAACCCAACAUCUCACGACACGAGCUGACGACAACCAUGCACCACCUGUGUAGAACCCCGAAGGACACCAUAUCUCUAUGGCUUUUCUCUACAUGUCAAGCCCAGGUAAGGUUCUUCGCGUUGCUUCGAAUUAAGCCACAUGCUCCGCCGCUUGUGCGGGCCCCCGUCAAUUCCUUUGAGUUUUAGCCUUGCGGCCGUACUCCCCAGGCGGGGCACUUAAUGCGUUAGCUGCGGCACGGAACCCGUUGAUAAGGCCCCACACCUAGUGCCCAACGUUUACAGCGUGGACUAC